This 148-nucleotide signal recognition particle RNA is filed under the name Chlorocebus sabaeus (green monkey). RNAcentral's name for it is "Metazoan signal recognition particle RNA". It matches the Rfam family "Metazoan signal recognition particle RNA". Rfam says of the family: The signal recognition particle (SRP) is a universally conserved ribonucleoprotein. It is involved in the co-translational targeting of proteins to membranes. Lineage: Eukaryota; Metazoa; Chordata; Mammalia; Primates; Cercopithecidae. The record is from Rfam by way of RNAcentral.
GCUGGGUGUGGUGGCGGGCGCCUGUAGUCCCAGCUACUCAGGAGGCUGAGGCAGGAGAAUUGCUUGAACCCAGGAGGCGGAGGUUGCAGUGAGCUGAGAUCCGGCCACUGCACUCCCCCCUGGGCGACAGAGCAAGACUCCGUCUCAA